UUAAAAUGUAAAAUAUUUUGCUAGAGUAGUAAUAGAUAUGUUCUUGAAACUUAAAAAAUUUGGCGGUAUUUUAGUCUAUUCAGAGGAAUUUGUUUUAUAAUCGAUAAUCCACGAUGGACCUAACUUAAUUUUGUUUUUCAAUUUGUAUACCGCCGUUAUUAGAAUAUUUUAUAAGAAUAAUAAUUUUCAAUAAUUUUUAUUAAAAUUUAUAUCAGGUCAAGGUGCAGUUUAUAAUUAAGAAAAUAAUGAGUUACAAUAAAAUUAUUUAAGCGGAUUUAGUAUUGAAAAUAUAUUAAUAAAGAUGGAUUUGAAAGUAAAAAUUUAAAGAUUAAAAUUUUGAUUUUAGCUCUAAAAUAUGU
RNAcentral lists this ribosomal RNA (359 nucleotides) under Heterophlebus versabilis. Its description in RNAcentral is "partial 12S ribosomal RNA". The record is from RNAcentral. Lineage: Eukaryota; Metazoa; Arthropoda; Insecta; Diptera; Empididae.